UUGCACGCUAGUGCAUGAGGAAGGACAGGGUUUAUGUUUUACCUCUCCACACACCUUUCUUUUGCAAUGUAUGGGUUGUACGAACACUGUGCGCUGUUUGUUAAGCUGCAGCCGUUCAACCGGGCUUAUAUGGUUGGCGAAGAUGAGGUUUAUUAAAGGACACACUGUGGAAUUCCUAAUGCAGUGUGAAUGUGCAUUCUUUUGACUAGCCCUGCUAAGUGUUUUGCCGCCUCCUCUCAACCACUAAACACAACCCGACGUUACACCGCCUACAGGAUGGCUGACGGCUUCAUCCGAUGCAAAUGUAUUAGGAGGUGAAACUUUUUGGUACAGCCAUUUUUGCCGACUAUACUGCCGAACCCAGACAAACUGUUAGCAAUGGCAAUGGCACUGAAGUAGAGUCACCACCACUAGACCCCCCAGUCACAUCGGAGGUGUUGGAGGAGGAGCAGGAAAGUCAGAACGUGAUGGAGCAAGACGCAGCUGAGCUUCAAACACCUCGUCAGAAUCAGCGAAACUGUUGAUCUUGCCAGAUGUGCAGAUGCAUUUGCUAUUGGUGUGCGGGAGCAAUCCCAUCUAUCACAGGCAUAAAAGACAAAUGAAGUAGAAUUAUGUAACCCAUAUCAACUACACCCUGUCACAUGACCCACGUCAGCUGAUUUGAGGUCCCUCUCCUGAUUUGCUCCUUCCACGUCGCGGCAACUAUGAAAACCGGCUGUGGAGGGAUACUUUCGGGUUGGACUCCUGCUGUGGCUGUAUGCUAAUGGCGUUUAGAACGGCGUUGGAAAACAAAGUGUUUUCUCCCCUCAAUUCAUCUAUAAAAUCGUACCACCUCAGCGGUCAGGGUUUUUUUCCCCCCUUUGAAUUGAUCUUCUUCAUAUUGAAAUGGCGAGCCGAGGAGUGUCAACAACAUUGUUCUUGGUGUCCAACCGUAUCAAACGGCUCUUCUGACGUCCUUGAUGGGGAAAAAUGAAGACCAUCCUUGAAAGGCAUCCUGAC
Long non-coding RNA from Oreochromis aureus, 999 nucleotides. NCBI's taxonomy places the organism in Eukaryota, Metazoa, Chordata, Actinopteri, Cichliformes, Cichlidae. The record is from Ensembl.